ACAAAAACAUAAAAUGGAAGAACCGAGAAUUACUUCCUCUCAUCCUCUCGGUUGUUCUCUCUUUCUCUCCGAUGCUCUCUGUUCUCUCUUGCUCGCAAACAACAAACAAUAACAGGUUCUCGAUUUUCCUCUUCUCACAGUGAACAACAACGACGGCUCAGCUCUCUCUCGGUUGCUCUCCGCUCACAACAACAACGAAGCCCUCAAACAUCUCGCGGUUCUCUCUCUCGUUUUCUCUCUCGGCUAAACAACAAGGGAGCUCAUGUUUCACUUACUCAGUGAACAACAACAGCAGCGAUAACUUGUGUGUCAACCGAGUUUCACUUACUCAGUGAACAACAACAACGAUGAUGAACAAAAACAACAUAUUUUGCAGUAACAAUUAGUAGUAAUACCGAGUGUGAGAGCAGAAACGACUUACCUGCGGCGAGGAGACGUUCGCCGGAUUAUUGUUGAAGGCUUUUGAUGAAGGUGAUGCCAUAACACCUCUUUGGAUUGUGGGAGAACUUGAAGAUGGAACUUCAAGUUGUUGAAAGCUUGAAGAUGAAGAACUUCAAGUAAGGUAUGAAGAACCACUACCUUUUCACUCUUUCUCUCUUUUUUUUGUAGAAUAACACUUAGAAGUAUGAGAAUUCUAUGUGUUACUCUUGCCCUCUUUUUUUUCGUUUUUCUUUAUUUGUGUGUCUCUCCUCUAUUUAUAGAGGAAAAAGUGAGGGAUAAUUUUGGUCAUUUUUGCACCCAAGCUUAGUCCUUAAGCUCACUUAGUUACUAAGUUUUCAUCAUUGCAAAGAAUAUUCUUUCCAAAAUAAUCAUUGCCAAAGUUCCUUAGUUGUUAAACUUUCUUAAUGGCCAAGUAUCACAAUUUGUGCACAUGGAGGAAUAUGCACAUGGGAUGGAAAUAUCUUCAUAACUCUUGCAAGAAAGUUCCACGACAUAGCAUUGUUUUAUGUCAUACAUUGUAACUUCCAUGUGGUAGUUAUGACAUAAUAUAU
Long non-coding RNA from Vicia villosa (hairy vetch), 992 nucleotides. RefSeq lists it as uncharacterized. Lineage: Eukaryota; Viridiplantae; Streptophyta; Magnoliopsida; Fabales; Fabaceae. The transcript has 3 exons. The record is from RefSeq and is a predicted model, not a curated record.